GACGAACGCUGGCGGCGUGCCUAAUACAUGCAAGUCGAGCGAAUGAUAGGGAGCUUGCUCCUUAUCAUUAGCGGCGGACGGGUGAGUAACACGUGGGCAACCUGCCUAUAAGACUGGGAUAACUUCGGGAAACCGGAGCUAAUACCGGAUACGUUCUUUUCUCGCAUGAGAGAAGAUGGAAAGACGGUCUCGGCUGUCACUUAUAGAUGGGCCGCGGCGCAUUAGCUAGUUGGUGAGGUAAUGGCUCACCAAGGCCACGAUGCGUAGCCGACCUGAGAGGGUGAUCGGCCACACUGGGACUGAGACACGGCCCAGACUCCUACGGGAGCAGCAGUAGGGAAUCUUCCGCAAUGGACGAAAGUCUGACGGAGCAACG
RNAcentral lists this ribosomal RNA (376 nucleotides) under uncultured bacterium. Its description in RNAcentral is "bacterial SSU rRNA". It matches the Rfam family "Bacterial small subunit ribosomal RNA", at positions 28 to 396 of the family's 1533-position model. The record is from RNAcentral.